CAGUCAGUUCUCCUAACCGCUGAGCCAUCUCUCCAGCCCCCUCUAUAUUUCUUAAGAAAGUUUCAGAGCAUCCUUUCCUUCUUAUGAGCUACUGACAUGUUCUGAGGAAAUUCCUCUUGUGCCUGUCACCAUCUCAGUCCAUCUCUCUUGGCUUCUUUGUCUUUUGCAGCUUUCAUAUACGGCCAGACAAGCUGACACUGCUUUGAUUUACCAUUCCACUUACCAGAAAAGUAUGUGAAGUUGCUGUAAUUAAAAACCAUUUUUGCAAGUCUGCCUGAGGCAGAUUGGGUGCUCCAGACCCCCUCUCAUACCUAGAGACAGCCUGACUUCUAGGAGUUCCAUCAUAACUACGAUCACAGGACCCAGUUAUUCAUGGUGUUGGGAGC
Mus musculus (house mouse) is the source of this 386-nucleotide long non-coding RNA. RefSeq annotates it as predicted gene, 34849. Lineage: Eukaryota; Metazoa; Chordata; Mammalia; Rodentia; Muridae. The transcript is spliced from 3 exons. The record is from RefSeq and is a predicted model, not a curated record.